RNAcentral lists this long non-coding RNA (1677 nucleotides) under Carassius auratus (goldfish). RNAcentral describes it as "lncRNA (ENSCARG00000026917.1)". Lineage: Eukaryota; Metazoa; Chordata; Actinopteri; Cypriniformes; Cyprinidae. The record is from RNAcentral.
AUUAUAUUUAUGUCUGGAAUAAAAUAAAACAUAUUAGACAAUCAAUUUAAAUGAAAACUGAAUAAUGUCGCCUUGGCAUCUAAAUAAAAUAAAAUGAGUUUAAGUACUAAAAAUACUAAAACUAAAACCAAAAAAAAAAAAAAAAAAAAAUUAAAGCUAAAUAAAAUAGAUAAAUGAUAAUAAUAAUGAUUAAUGACAAAAUUACCAAAACACAAAAAAAUUUUUUAUUAAAACUAAAAAUAAGAAAAAAAGCUAAAAUAAUAGUUAUGACUAUAACAAUACAUAAACAAUACUAAAAUAACACUGAGGACAAUUUCUAAAUUGAUAAAUUAACUUAAAAUGCAUGUAUACAUUUUAUAAUAAUAUAACAAUUCAUUAUAUAAACUAAAUACGGAUUAUCACACAUACAUAUAUUCUAUAAAAUAAAUGAACCUUAAUAAAAAAUGAUGCAUACAAAUAUAAAUAAAUUAGAAAAGCUGUAUUUAAACUGUAAAUAAAGGAGAUACACACCUCGACAGUCUAUAUUUUGGCAGUAGUCUCCUUCAGGGAUGCAGGUGCUGAAAACACACAGAAAAGAUUGAGUUAACUUUGUAAAAUAUUGAAUAAAUGUUAUCUCUCUGAAGCUCCUAAAAUAAUUCCCAGUGUCUCUCACCAUUGUUGACAUUCCCCUUCUAUCCAGGUGUCUCCGACAGACAGUUCCUUCUCAUCAUGGACACACAGCGGAGGACACACGCCGAGGUCACAUGGUUUGUGCUGGACUUCCUCAAACUGGCAGUUUGCACCGUCAUCCUCAGGAACCAGAGAUCUGGAAAACAGAAUUACAUGUUCAUAAAAUCCUGCAUGGAUGGAGCCUGCAUAAGGAAUGCUGUGUGUGCAUCCCACCUGAAUCGAGUCCUCUGUCCGGGGCCGCAGGUGGAGCUGCAGGAGGCCCAGGUGGACCAGGAGCUCCAGGAGCAGCUGUGUUCUCCUGCGCAGGUGUGAUUGGUGCAGGUGAGACGCCCGUCUGCGCAGCUGCAGUUGUUGCAGGCGUCUGGAGUCAGGACGGUCUCUCCGGGACGGACCCUUCGUCCUGUGUGCAGGUCCAGACAGGGACACGUGUCCCGCUCCACACACUCCGUCCCGUUUGAGUCCAGAACUUUACCAUCUGUGCAGUAACAGCCCGGCUCACAGCGCCACUCACAGUACUGCACACACACACACACACACACACACACACACACACACACACACACACACACACACACACACACACACACACACACACACACACAGACACACACACACAGACACAGAGACACACACACACACACACACACACACACAGACACACACACACACACACACACACACACACACACACACACACACACACACACACACACAGACACACACACACACACACACACACAGACACAGAGACACAGACACACACACACACACACACAUCAUCAUCAUCAACAUCCAUCCAUAAAAUAUAUAAUUUAUAAAUUCAUAUCAUAUGCAUUAUCAAAUGCAGGGUAAAAUAAAGUUAAGAAUAUUUAUAUUUACUGUAUAUUCAUAUUAUAUUUACUGUAUUACUCUUAAAUGCAUAUAAAAAAUAAUAUAAAACAUAUUUUGUUUCCAGCAAUUUUUUAAUAAAAACAUAAUAAAACGUCUUUACAAUUUAUUAACAUUCUG